CUCUACGGCCAUACCGCCCUAAAUGCACCCGUUCUCGUCUGAUCUCGGAAGCUAAGCAGGGUUGGGCCUGGUUAGUUCUUGGAUGGGAGA
This 90-nucleotide ribosomal RNA is filed under the name Piliocolobus tephrosceles (Ugandan red Colobus). Lineage: Eukaryota; Metazoa; Chordata; Mammalia; Primates; Cercopithecidae. The record is from RNAcentral.